Molecule: non-coding RNA, 10775 nt
Organism: Anolis sagrei ordinatus
Lineage: Eukaryota; Metazoa; Chordata; Lepidosauria; Squamata; Anolidae
Source: RefSeq, a predicted model, not a curated record
GUGAAGACUUCACUUUCUAGCCGGGAGCUCUGCGCGCCCUGCAUUUGGCCAGACCAGUGUGCGCGCCUUCGAAACGUCCUCUCGCUUUGCUUUUCUUUUAAUUUUUUGUUGGAGGCAAGGAUUCAUUUUAGAAUCAGUCCUGCGAGGACUCAUCCAUGGAACUAAAACGCCAGCCACUUCUCAAGAGAGAGCACGGCAUGGAUGAUCCGAAGCAUGGGAGACUUUGAGACUGCUUUUAAAAAAGCAGUGUUUUUAAAAGGACCCUUUUUCCCCUCCCCACUAAGUUUGGUUUCCAGCCGAAGAUCAGCUCUCUCCCUAGAGUCUUUUUCUCCCCUUCUCCCUUUCCCUCUCGCCCAUCGCUCGCUCGCUCCUCGGAAUGAGAAAGAAGUGGGAAAAAGGCAGAAAUCCAGAGGUCAUCAUUAGAUGUGACAACCACAAACAAAAAAGACUGGGGGCGGCAGCAGCAGCAGCAGCGUUAACAGCAGCAGCAAGCCAAGCCAGCCUAGACCUGCAGCUCGGGAAAGCCUGCGAUUCGAAGAAGGCACACCGAGGAGAGGACCUGCCAGGCUGCUUCCUCCCUUCUCCAGCGCUAGCAACCCACCCCCAAAUCCGCAAGAUAGAUGCUGCCACCAUUUGGUUAAAAUAAGAAUUAUUAUUAAUUAUAUAUUUUUUAAAAAUGCGCUCUGAUGUCUAAUCCAAAAGGAUGAGAAGGGAAGAGCUGGAUCUUCGCAUCUCCAGGGCUGGCUAGCGAGGCCAUCACUUUCCUGUGAGUUCCUCUGGAAUGGGAUUCCCCUCCCUCCUUCCCUCCUCUCCUUCUCCUCCUCCUCCUCUUCUUCGCUGUUGGCUUUACAUCUUAGAGGUGAAAGACUCUUUCCUUCAGCACGACGCAUUUCCCAAUGCAAAAGAGAGGCCUGUGGAAGGAUGGAUGGAUGCUUCACAGCUUGAUACACCUCAAUAGCUGGUUUUAUUUCCUGAUAUGAACAGAUGAACAAUUGGUCCAUUGCUGCUAGACAUCCCUUGCUUGAAAGGAGAGAGGGGCAAAGAGAGAGAGAGAGAGAGAGAGAGAGAGGGAAAAGUUCGGAGUAAAACUUUGAAGGCAACCGAUCUGCUUGGGAUGUGUUUCAGAAGCACACACCAAUACCGUGGCGUUGCAAGGAUGCCCCUUUUAAGACCCGCCUGGUGCCCUCGAAGGAAAAAGUACCUUUGCAGAAGCAACCUGGAUUCUAGCAAGGAGGGGGCCCGAAGAAGUCACCCCCCAACCCAUCCGACUUCACACGAAGGAAGCGAGUUGUUAUCUUUGGUUAUCUAGCUGUAUGAGUGUGUUGGUCUUCAUAAAGCUAGAUAACCGAAAGUAAAAACUCCUUCAAGAUCUUCAGUGCUGCACAAAGAAGAGAGAGAGAAAGAGAGAGAGAGAAAGAGAGGCUCCCAGCAAAGGACAAUACCGAGCCAGCCGGGGCAGGAAUGCGCCCUCCAUGAAUGGCCCCUUCCUGCAGCUCAAGGAAAGAGAGAGAGAGAGAGAGAAAGGAGGAAACUGAAUGACAUACGGGUGCCAAAUAUGUGGGUAUGCAUAUAUAAGCGUGCAUAUAUAGAUAACCAGGCACAGGAUGAUGAUGAUGAUGAUGAUGAUGAAGAAUAAGCCCUGCGCGGCAAAGAGAGGAUGUGGUGCUCAUGGUAAACAAAUGCAUGUGCAAGUUUUAUUGCUGUUCUGCCGGGAGGGGGUGGGAAGUUAAUGCUUUGCCUUGUGAUGUUGUUGCUCAGAGCAAUCCUACACACAGCUGUUCAGAAGUAAGUUCUUGUGAGUUCAGGGAGACUUACUCCUAAGGAGCUGUGUCCUGGAUGGCAGCCUUGGAUGGACAUUUUAGGCACUGUUUACAUUCCCCUCUGCCCUUUGGAGGCUUGAAUUGAACCAUUUAAGGUGUGUCUCUCUCUGUGUGUAUCCUUCAGCAACAGAAUGUGAUGAACUCUUGUCUGGGAAGGGCCUUUCAAAGUAUUGUCAUGGCCGGAAUCGCUGGAUUGUUGUGAGUUUUCCGGGUUGUAUAGCUAUGUUCCAGAAGCAUUCUCUCCUGGCGUUUCGCCUGCAUCCCCAGAGGUUGUGAGACUCCACAACCUCUGAGGAUACUGUUCCAGAAGCACUCUCUCCUGACGUUUCUCCUGCAUCUAUGGCAGGCAUCCUCAGAGGCCCCACAACCUCUGAGGAUACUGUUCCAGAAGCAUUCUCUCCUGACGUUUCUCUUGCAUCUAUGGCAGGCAUCCCCAGAGGUUAUGAGGUUUGUUGGAAACUAGGAAAAUGCUUCCAACAAACCUCAAAACUCUGAGGAUUUCCUAGUUUCCAACAGACCUCACAACUCUGAGGAUGCCUGUCAUAGAUGCAGGCAAAACGUCAGGAGAUAAUGCUUCUGGAACAUGGCCAUACAGCCCUGAAAACUCACAACAAACCAGCCUUUCCAGUGUUGGGAGGCUGAGAAUGUUAUUUCCAGGGGUCAGAGGUAAAGUGCACAAGAAGUGAGAGUAAAAUAAAACAAAACAAAACAAACUUUGCAUUGAAGAGUAAGGCUGGGUUAUUAAUGUUUAUCUUCUGAAGGUUUGGUGAAUUUUCAUAACAUGGGGACGGGGAGGGGGAGGUGAUGAGUGAUGGAAAAAAAGUGGAGAGAGAGAGAGCGAGAGAGAGAGAGAAGGGGGGAGGAAAGGAAACCCGUUUUCUAUUCAAAAUGCAAGCAUAGAUGCUUCUCUGUUCCGAGAGGGUUUCCUUGAGGAAGCUACUGAAGCAGAAAGACGUGAUGGAGACGAGCGGGCCUCCCCCCUCCCUUGUCAAAAUGUUAGAAAAGCAGCCUGUGUCUUCUUCGGCGGGGCUAGCAUUGGAAAUGAAAGUGACAUUUCCUUCCAAACCCACGUGCGCGCCUCCUCGCUCCUUGUGUUUUCAGGAUGAUCAGAUCUAUCCAGGAAACUGCUCUGGCAUCCCAAACAGAAAUAAUUAGGACGUAUAGAGAGGGAGACCUGGCCGGGGAGAGAAAGGGAGAGGGGAAGGGGAGGGGAGGGGUGGGCCCGUCGGAGGGGUCUGGUCUUGCCUAAUUGAUUCCGUUAAACGGAAUGCCUGAGAUGUGAACGGCUGGACGCUCCCAUUCCCACGCUCGGGGCAAGUGGCGAUGCGAUGGCCCGGCAGCCUAUGACAGACAGCCCUGUUGGGGGUUGCCCUCGGAGAAGGGGAAGGGGGGCAGCCUCAAGUGCGCCACACCAGGCUCAUCUCCAUCCCUUAAGAAAGUGCAGGCAUUUCCCACCCACAGCCAUCUGCAGGCUCCCAAGUGGGCAUCCCAACUGUUCCUGGAGCUGCAGACUGUCUGCUUCUGUUCAUUCUGUCACCACCGUUCCAGCAACUCAUAAUCAUGAUGAUAAUAAUAAAAAGGUUUCUUUACUGCUGGGGACAGCCCAGCUCACAAAAGAGAAAAAGGCAAAGAACUGGCUAUGCCUGUCUGAGACAAAUGGCUCAGGCCUGGCAUACAUAACAGACAUGCACACAAUGUUUAUAGAGAAGCUGUCAUUGUCAUUGUUCAGGUUGGGUAGUGUACUUUGUAAGCCCUUCCACACAGCCCUAUAUCCCAGAAUAUCAAGGCAGAAAAUCCCACAUUAUCUGCUUUGAAUUGGGUUAUCUGACUCCACACUUAGAUAAUGUGGGAUUUUCUGCCUUGACAUUCUGGAAUAUAGGGUUGUGUGGAAGGGCCCUGAGUGUGGAUUCAGAUAACCCAGUUCAAAGCAGAUAUUGUGGGAUUUUCUGCUUUGAUAUUCUGGGAUAUAAGGCUGCAUGGAAGGGCCCUGACUGUGUAUGUGCAACGUAAAAUGUAAAGGAGCUGGAUUUGAAAAUGCACUUUUUGGCUCCUUCCACACAGCUGAAUAAAAUCCCACAUUUUCUGCUUUGAACUGGGAUAUAUGGCAGUAUGGACUUAGAUAACCCAGAGCCCUUUCGCACAGCCCUCUGUCCCAGAAUAUCAAGGCAGAAAAUCCCACAUUAUCUGAGUGUGGACUCAGAUAACCUAGUUCAAAGCUGAUAUUGUGAGAUUUCCUGCCUAGAUAUUCUGGGUUACAUGGCUAUGUGGAAGGGCCCCAAAUCCUAAGGAUGUUUUUGCCCUAUACCACAAAAAUAAGAACACAAACAGUUCCACUUCUCCCUGAUACAUGUUAGUACCCCACUAAUAGGAAGCACUCAAAAGGGACAUGCAUUUAGUUCAGUAAGAUAUGUUCCUGAAUUCCCAUAAUAAUGUUAUCCCAGUAUAUUGACUUGAUUUAAGAUCUCCCAGGAUCCUUCCACACAGCCUUAUAUCCCAGAAUAUCAAGGCAGAAAAUCUCACAAUAUCAGCAUUGAACUGGGUUAUCUGAGUCCACAUUCAGAUAAUGUAUGAUUUUCUGCCUUGAUAUUCUGGGGGCCCUUCCACAGCCCUAUAUCCCAGAAUAACAAGGCAUAAAAUCCCAUAUUAUCUGAAUGUGGACUCAGAUAACUCAGUUUAAAGCAGAUAUUUUGGGAUUUUCUUCCUUGGUAUUCUGGGAUAUAGGACUGUGUGGAAGGACCCCCAGUGAACUGGUUGCUAACAUGGAAAUAUAUAUCAAAUAUAUUUCCUUUGUGUUUGUUUGUGUGUGAGAGAGAAAGAGAUAAAUAAGUUGCCAGGAAUGGAGUGCACUUUCCAUUUCUUAAAAAAUAAAUAAAUAAAACCCUAAUCUAUGAUGGGUUGCAAGUAAGGUAACCAAGUAAGGCCUGCAGACAGAAAGGAUUUUGCAGGAGUCUAACUUCCUAUAGUUUGCUCUGAAUUUAGCUUGAUUUGUGGGAAUACUCUGUUGACUAAAGAAAGGGCUGGAUUUUCCACUGCUGUGCACGUGCCAGGGUUUACUACUGUAGUGGCCAAUGAACAGUCCCCUUGUUUAUUUCCUUUAGAAGUUCUGUUUGUGAGCCCAACCUUUCAUUGUUAAGGGCCUUCUGCUUUUGCUUUACUGCAUGUCCAGUGGUGCUGUUUACCUAGAGCCAUUGUCUACUACAAUUAACAUUUACAUUACAAAGUGCAUGGGUUUUCUUUCUCAAAGAGGUUCAAUUAAGGCAAUAAGCUGUUUUCUGGGGGUGUUCUUUUGUUUAGUGCACAACAGUCAAUAGAGUGGACUUGCUUUUACUUUGCCAAAUGAACUCUUGCUUAUAUUUUGAUCUCUUCUGUACAUUUAUGAAGGAAAGCACUUGAGGAUUUCCCCCCCUUUCUGAUAUUAUACUUCUGUGUUAGCCAUUGUCACUUCAGAAUUGUUUUGUACCAUGCUAAUGUUACAUGAGUAUCAAUCAAUAAAAUGCAUUUCAAUGUUAUUUUAUUAUUAUUUAUUUAUCUUUCACCGAUUUGACACAAAUUAGGUUUUUUCUUUCCUUUUUAAGUUUUAUCCCAUGUCCUUUCAACAUCUAAAGAUUGUGAGGUCAUUUUAAAUAUAAUAGAUUUCAUUAAAUUUGUGUUUGAAAAUCUUUCCACCAAGACAAAAAAGUUUGGGAUAGUAAUACUAAUAAGGUGCUAUAUCUUUAGAGCUUGAAAUAGCCUGCCAACACAAAGCUGGGUCAAAGAAGUAUAAAUAUAAUCUGAGUAGCCCUUUGAGGGCUAGCUUUAGCAUUGGGAGACCCCCAGAUCAAGUUUAUUUAGCAUACCAUUGCAUUGUAAAACAGUUGGAGUGAAGUUGCAGGGUUGCGUGAGUAUGCAUGUUAACUAGUGGGAACCAAGUCCCAUUCCUUUUGAAAGGGGAGCAGCAGAUUGCUGUGCAAGGCCAAUGUUAAAAAGGCAGCUGAAUUUAACACCAUCUGGAAGAAAAGAUCCCUUCACGACUUUCUCACACCGUCAGACAAAACUAGUGUCUCUUGUUCUGAGCCCUUGUCUAUGCGGCCAUACAAUACUGAGUCAUUAUACUUUUGCUGAGAGAAAAUUUGAGAACACAAUAUGGGGAACCAGUGAAUGACCAAGUUUCAUUGUGCCCGCUUAAGUCGAUUGAAACCUACGUCUAGAGCCAUGAAUGGCGGCAUUGUUUUCCUCACUGGGGCUAUGCUAAAUGUCAGCACAGUGUAAAGAAAAACUUGAAGUCUGCAAAUAACUUACCAGAUCUCAAUUAUAAUAUUUUCCCACACUAGAACUAAUAUCAUUGCUAGGCCGCACAAUGCACAACAUAACAAAAAAAGCAACUAAAAAGUGUUCAUUUAAAAGUUAUUCCAGGCUAGCAAACUGCCCCCCUCUCCACCCCUCAGUUUAGGAGUUUGAAUGGCUGAGGUAUGGCUGUGGGUAAUCCUCUCUAGAGAAGUUCAAGUUGCAAAACUGCUUCUCCAGGCACCCAGGAAAGAAACAACAUCAAUAAUUUGUUUUCUGAAGAAAACAUUUCAAGUGACUAGUGUCACAGCCAUGUCACCCUAGCAAGUUCGCAAUGCUUAAUUCUUCUCUUUACUACUUUUUAGUGCUGCUGCCCUGUGAAUUUCAAUGAGUUUGAGCUUGACAAAACACCACAGUGAGAGAGGGCUUUCAGGGGGCUCAGGAGAAUGAUGGGGCCUGUCCAUACAGAAUUAGGUGCGACAAUAGUGCUUCACAAUGAAUUACUUGGCUUUUAAAAAAUUGGUGAUGAUAACUUAUAAAACAUCUGAGCAGUUCUGCCUUGGAUUUAGUAUCCUCAGAAUCAAGUGACAGAACAAGAAGCAGAUAUUAAAAAGGAGUAGCAGUUUUAAAAAAAGUUAGUUAGCAGUUUUUGAUGUUUGUUGUCAUCUGUUAUGUUGCAUUUAACUCCUAUUCUGAUUGUCUAUUAUUGUCCACUCGGUGUCCUUAUAUUUCUUUGUUGUCUUAACAAGAAAGUCAAAGCCAACAAUCAGCAUUUUUGCUGCAUAUCCCGGCUGUCACCUCUUUGAGUAAUAAUGGAAUAGGAAACAAAGUGAACAAUAGAAUAUUUUAGAAACCCAUUGUGUGUGUAUUGUUGUUGUUGUGGUAGUUAUGUUUUUUUCAGUUUUUUGACAAGACAAAAAAAGUUUCAUCACACUAAAGAAAAAAUGCACUUAAAAUCUGGUUUCUGCAGAAUUCUGGGAUUUGUAGUUUAGUGAGGCUGUUAAAGGCUCCUCCCCAAACUACAUACCCCAAAAUUCUACAAGAGGCAGACACUGGAUUUUAAGUGGAUUUUUUCUCUAGUGUGACAAGGCCCAUAAGAAUGACCGGUUAAAACUUAAUAUUACACUGGUUAUUUUUGGUGUUACAGCGUAAUCCUAUACAUUCUUACCAGGGAGUAAGUCCAACUGAAUGCAGUAUAACUUACUUCCAAAUAGAUAUGUAUAGGAUUAUUCUGUUGAAAAAUAAAUUUUGGUUAUUUGGACGAGGAUUAAAAAAAACAAACAGAUUAAAUUCUAAAACCUGCCAGGUACAUUGGACUACCAAAAGCACAUGAUGUUCAUAAGGCAACACUGCCACAACUAAUUAUUGGCACCUGUGCAUUUUGGUUCCCAAACAAACAUCUCAUAAACUCCUUAAUGUUAUUGUGAUGCUGUAUCAGUGCUCCUCUGUCAAUGUAGUGGUGGAAUUACAAGGAUGUCAUGUCUGUUGUGAAAGUCUGCUCCUCAUUUAAUUAAAAUGGAUUGUGAAGGAAGUAGCAAACUGAAAGUAAGAACACUAGUCAGAAAAAUAGUCUACUCAUACUUCAAAAAUGUGUAAACAAACAGAUUUUGGAUUAUUCAAAUUGACAUGGAGUACAUUUUAUAACAUGGACAUAUAUGCCAUCCUUUGUUUAUCCACCUCCUCCCUUCUCAUUAGUGUUAGCAGAGUACUGUGAAAUUUUGAAAUCUUAUUACACUUCAGUUUUUCAGGCGAGUGAAAUAUAUGGAGGAGACUUUUGUCAAUAGAUUUUGCCGAAAUUGUGGUUUAAUCAAUAGUACAGAUGUUGUUUCCAGUAGCAAUUAUUUUACAGUCUGGGGUUGGGGACUUAGUAGCACCAAGAGGUUCUUGGAUUGAGAUAGAUAUGCAACACAAUCCUAUCUUUGCUUACUCAGAACUAAAUUUUAGUCAAAUAGAGGUUACGCAUGGAAAAGGGCCUUUCUAUUAAUUUUAUGAGCAUUAUUAGAAUUAGUCAAGCUUAGGUUGAAGUUAAAUACCCAGGUGAAUUGGCAAUGUGUUCCAUACUGAAAAACCAACCCUCCUUCCUUCCUUCCUUCCUUCCUUCCUUCCUUCCUUCCUUCCUUCCUUCCUUCCUUCCUUCCUUCCUUCCUUCUUUCCAACCAACAUUUAAAUUGGAUGGGCCUUCCUUAACUCAAAGUUUUUAGUGAAUUCAGGAUUGGUUAGCUGCAGGCCUUAUACAGAGAUCCACAGCAUAGACCCAGGACCCUGGGAACACACAGCAAAAACCUGUGGGUAGAUGCAUGGCCUUUCUGCUCCUCUGGAUAGCUAAAAGGCAGGAGUGUUUCAGAGAGGAGCAGACCCUUGCUGUGGCUGUUGCUGCUGCUGAGCCUGACUCCAUGCUGGUUGUUCGCUAGCACAGUGCAAUGUGAUCUUACUGCAGCCCUUUAUGAGGAAGGCCGAAGACCAUUCAGAGCAGAACAGACACCAGGCAGCUGGCCUGCUGGAUUCCUGCCGCUUGGUUGUUUAAUACCCGGAGGCUACAGGACAAGGAAAGGAGUGGGGAGGCACCUGGAAAGAGGUUCAGAGUGCAGCACAAAAGAGGGGGCAGAAAAAAAAGGAGAGAGAAGCAUUUAUUUUCAUUUAGGAGUUGAGAAUAUGGGUGCCUCUGCACUGUAGAAUGAAUACAGUUUGACACCACUUUAACUGCCAUGGCUCAAUUCUAUAGUGUGGUGAAGCACCAGCACUCCUUGGCAGAGAAGGCUUUUACCUUUUACAAACAAAAACUCCCAUGAUGUCACAGCACUGGCAUUUCAAGAGGUGUCAAGCUGCAUUUAUUCUACAGUGUGGAUAAACCCUAUGAGCAGGAUAGCCAGGAUGCUUAAUGUGCACAAUACAUGUCUUUCUCCAGUAGGUUCAGGAGAAAGUACUCUCUGAGUGCAUCAAUGCAGUUUGACUGCCACAGCUCUAUGGAAUGAAGGGAGUUGUAGCUGUAUCAAAGAGUGCUGGUGCAUCACCAAACUACAACCCCCAGGAUGCCAUAGCAGGGCACCAUGGCAAUUAAAAUGGAUGGCAAACUGUAUUAAUUCUGUAGUGACUUGGGGGUUCAUCCACACUGUAGAAUUCAUGCAAUUUGUUCUUGGAGACUAAGGCUCAGAACAAGGGCUUCAAAUUACAGGAAAUGAGAUCCCACCUGCACAGGAGGAAGAACUUCCUAACUGUGAGAGAUGUUCAGUAGUGGAACUCUCUGCCCCAGAGCGUGGUGAUGGCUCCUUCUUUGGAAGCUUUUAAACAGAGGCUGGAUGGCCAUCUGUCUGGGAUGCUUUGAAUGCAAUUUUUCUGCUUCUUGGCGGGGGGUUGGACUGUAUGGCCAACGAGGUAUCUUCCAACUAUGAUUCCACGACUCUAUGACUUUAACUGCCAUGGCCCAAGGCUAGGAAACCUCGAAUGUGUAGCUUGGUGAGACACCUCACUCUUUGGUAGAAGACCUUGUGAGAACUUCAGCUCCCAGGAUUCCAUAGCAUGGAAUCAUGGCAGUUCAAAGAGAUGCUAAAUUGCAUUGGUCCUGUAGUGUAGAUGCCCCUUUUGACUUAGGAAUGGGAGGUCUCGCCCAGGCAAGGGCCUGAGGAAAGAGGCAGCCGCUUUUUGCUGCAAUUGCUGCUGCUUUAAGGAUCUCCGUAGCAAUGGCAGCAACCGGGCCGCUGGGCAGUACCAGGCUGCUGUGUGACAAGCACCAGUUGCCUCCCAGGCGCGAGCUGUGAUUGGUGUUUCCCGGGAGACGGGAUGGCUGAGCUCCUAGGCUGGCUGGCGCGCGCGCUCUUUCCCUCCCUCCCUCCCUCCUUCCUUCCUUCCUUCCCUCCCUCCUCCUCCUCCUGCUCUUCCUGAUGAAGAUCCUGCCUCCUUUAGGGCAGCGCAGCAUCUCCCCUGUCCUCUGCCUUGUCAGGUUACACCCUGGUUUGACACCCUAAGAGCCCAUUUCUAGAUCUAAGGUUCCAGUUCUCCAAAUCUUAGGGCUUGUGGUCAUCCUGAGUUGGCGACACCAUUGAAGAUGUCUGAAAUGCACAGAACAAAAGAAUGGCAGUUCCACAUGAUAGUCUUUGAGAGCUGCAAGGAUGCAUCACAUGAAGAACUGUGACAUUUGACUACAGCUUCAAGAUUUUGUGAACUUUUCCAUGGUUACUUUCUGCAGCUGACAAAUAUUCAGCCAUAAUUCUGAGAAUUGGCCUAAGGAAUCUGCAGUAAAAUGUAAUGUAUGUACACUGCACGCAUUCUAUGAAACUGUGGUAAAUAUUAAAAGUUAUUAUGUUUAUUUCAAAGCAACUCCAACUGAGUUCAGUAGAACAUCCUCUCAGGUAAAUAUGCAUAGUUUGUACUGUUGGCAUGAAAUAAGAAUUAAAGAUUCAGCUGUAUGCUGACCUAGCUUAGUGAGCCUGAUAAACUCCAUCUUGACAAUAGCCGACAUCUUCACAUGACCUGUAUGGUUUUGCUGAGCCCUGUCAUUUGUGCUAUGCUAGAAAUUCUGCAGGUGCAUUAUUACAUGCCCAGGGGCUACAGCAAGAAGUUAUGGUUACAUACAGUGCCUGAGAACAGCCUCAUAAACAACAAACAAUCUCUGAGUACAUUCAGUGCUGGUUACAAAGAACUCAAGUAACAAUUACUAAAUAUGCAUUAGGUAUUUCUCAUGCACACUUUGUUGCU